RNAcentral lists this long non-coding RNA (203 nucleotides) under Nicotiana benthamiana. Its description in RNAcentral is "long non-coding RNA (NBEN_LNC033522)". The record is from RNAcentral. Lineage: Eukaryota; Viridiplantae; Streptophyta; Magnoliopsida; Solanales; Solanaceae.
GUCAUACUUUACUUUUAAUUGUCUUGGUCCCACAUGUAUAUAAAAUUAACUUUUACACUUAUCCACUUAAAUAAUAAUUAACCAUUUACCCACAUAAUAAAAAAUUAUUUUAAAUUAGUUAAAAUAUUACUCACUUUUAUCACAUAUUUUAUACCUUACUAUCAUGGUCAUGUGGUACCUUGUAUGGUACUAGUCCAUAAAUA